This is a non-coding RNA of Nicotiana tabacum (common tobacco), 764 nucleotides long. The record is from RefSeq and is a predicted model, not a curated record. Lineage: Eukaryota; Viridiplantae; Streptophyta; Magnoliopsida; Solanales; Solanaceae.
ACACACACAAUGGCCAUAGCGGGGGAGGAGGAAAAACUCAAAAUGGUUAGUGGUUAUGCGAGUCCCUCGUCGUCACCUCCAACUCCACAAUCCCCACUGCCUGUGAGUGUAGGACCUGCACAUUUCCCCUACUAUUUCUCUUCAUCUCCUUCUCCUUCCCCACCAUUCUCACCACCCCCCUCCCCUCAUACAGAUAUCCUCCACCCGACGUCUCCUGCACCGCCUUUUUCCGUGGAUCGCCAACUCCAACCACAUCAUGAACUCCAUUCCACAUGCUCCUGUCUUUUAGACUUAAUAUGCAGGCUGAAAUGGUUCCUUCAUAGAUGUUGCACUUCUUUUACAGCCAGAAAAGGGUUGAAGACAAUGACUAUAUGAGGGAAAAAGCAAAGCCAGACGGAACUUGCAGGAGCCAGUGCUCAAAUGGCUUUAUAGGAACCAUGAUCCUCAGUAAAGGUAUUUCACGAAAAAAUCCCCUGUUAUUGAACAAGUAUUUUGGAAUUUAAGGGAAAAUGUAGUAUUUCCUUCGCUUCAUCUGGAUCCCAUUCUUAUCAUCUCAAAUUGAGACUCCAACUAUAGCUUCUGGUUUAGGUAUAAGGGAAGAACGCGGUACAAGGAAUGUGUAAGAAAGAUGUGGAAUAGCAAAUAAGUGCUGAUGGCAUGACCAUCUGAUUUACAUUUAGUUCUGAAUAAUGUACAAAGCAUGUAAUUAUACAAUCUUCUUUCAACAAAUGUUAUGUUUACGUAAUAAAAAUUUACUGCAACAA